Molecule: ribosomal RNA, 253 nt
Filed under: uncultured bacterium
Lineage: Bacteria
Description: partial 16S ribosomal RNA
Rfam family: Bacterial small subunit ribosomal RNA
Source: RNAcentral
UACGUAGGUGGCAAGCGUUGUCCGGAUUUACUGGGCGUAAAGGGCGUGCAGGCGGUUUGUUAAGUUCAGGGUGAAAGCUCCCGGCUCAACUGGGAGAGGUCCUUGGAUACUGGCAGACUUGAGGAGGGUAGAGGAGAGUGGAAUUCCCGGUGUAGUGGUGAUAUGCGUAGAUAUCGGGAGGAACACCAGUGGCGAAGGCGACUUCCUGGCCUGUUCUUGACGCUGAGGCGCGAAAGCUAGGGUAGCAAACGGG